RNAcentral lists this ribosomal RNA (468 nucleotides) under uncultured bacterium. RNAcentral describes it as "partial 16S ribosomal RNA". It matches the Rfam family "Bacterial small subunit ribosomal RNA", at positions 28 to 507 of the family's 1533-position model. The record is from RNAcentral.
GACGAACGCUGGCGGCGUGCUUAACACAUGCAAGUCGAACGGAAAGGCCCUGCUUUUGUGGGGUGCUCGAGUGGCGAACGGGUGAGUAACACGUGAGUAACCUGCCCUUGACUUUGGGAUAACUUCAGGAAACUGGGGCUAAUACCGGAUAGUAGCUCCUGCUGCAUGGUGGGGGUUGGAAAGUUUCGGCGGUUGGGGAUGGACUCGCGGCUUAUCAGCUUGUUGGUGGGGUAUUGACUUACCAAGGCUUUGACGGGUAGCCGGCCUGAGAAGAUGACCGGCAACAAUGGGAAGGAGAUACAGACCAGACAGAUAAGGGAGGAAGAAGGAGGGAAUAUUGCACAGUGGGCGGAAGCCUGAGGCAGCAACGACGCGUGCGGGAUGACGGCCUUAGAGUUGUAAACCGCUUUCGCCUGUGACGAAGCGUGAGUGACGGUAAUGGGUAAAGAAGCACCGGAUAACUACGUG